UACGGAGGGGGCGAGCGUUAUUCGGAAUUAUUGGGCGUAAAGGGCGCGUAGGCGGCUUGACAAGUCAAAGGUGAAAGCCCUGGGCUCAACCUGGGAAUGGCAGUGGAUACUGGAAGGCUGGAGUACGGUAGAGGAGGGUGGAAUUCCCGGUGUAGCGGUGAAAUGCGUAGAGAUCGGGAGGAACAUCAGUGGCGAAGGCGGCCCUCUGGACCAGUACUGACGCUGAGGCACGAAAGCGUGGGGAGCAAACAGG
This 253-nucleotide ribosomal RNA is filed under the name uncultured bacterium. RNAcentral's name for it is "partial 16S ribosomal RNA". It matches the Rfam family "Bacterial small subunit ribosomal RNA", at positions 524 to 776 of the family's 1533-position model. The record is from RNAcentral.